This 489-nucleotide ribosomal RNA is filed under the name uncultured bacterium. RNAcentral describes it as "partial 16S ribosomal RNA". It matches the Rfam family "Bacterial small subunit ribosomal RNA", at positions 30 to 506 of the family's 1533-position model. The record is from RNAcentral.
AUUGAACGCUGGCGGCAGGCCUAACACAUGCAAGUCGAACGGUAACAGAAAGCAGCUUGCUGCUUUGCUGACGAGUGGCGGACGGGUGAGUAAUGUCUGGGAAACUGCCUGAUGGAGGGGGAUAACUACUGGAAACGGUAGCUAAUACCGCAUAACGUCGCAAGACCAAAGAGGGGGACCUUCGGGCCUCUUGCCAUCGGAUGUGCCCAGAUGGGAUUAGCUAGUAGGUGGGGUAACGGCUCACCUAGGCGACGAUCCCUAGCUGGUCUGAGAGGAUGACCAGCCACACUGUAACUGAGACACGGUCCAGACUCCUACGGGAGGCAGCAGUGGGGAAUAUUGCACAAUGGGCGCAAGCCUGAUGCAGCCAUGCCGCGUGUAUGAAGAAGGCCUUCGGGUUGUAAAGUACUUUCAGCGGGGAGGAAGGGAGUAAAGUUAAUACCUUUGCUCAUUGACGUUACCCGCAGAAGAAGCACCGGCUAACUCCGU